Molecule: transfer RNA, 73 nt
Filed under: Citrobacter freundii
Lineage: Bacteria; Pseudomonadati; Pseudomonadota; Gammaproteobacteria; Enterobacterales; Enterobacteriaceae
Also listed under: 2 other names
Description: tRNA-OTHER
Rfam family: tRNA
About the family: Transfer RNA (tRNA) molecules are approximately 80 nucleotides in length. Their secondary structure includes four short double-helical elements and three loops (D, anti-codon, and T loops).
Source: RNAcentral
GCAAUAGUAGUUUAGAUGGUUUAAAUACUCCCGUUUCGGGGAGAGAUCGCAGGUUCGAAUCCUGUCUAUUGCA